GACGCGUCCAGUGGGCGGGAGACGCCGUA
This 29-nucleotide small RNA is filed under the name Bombyx mori (domestic silkworm). Its description in RNAcentral is "ovarian small RNA-2684". The record is from RNAcentral. Lineage: Eukaryota; Metazoa; Arthropoda; Insecta; Lepidoptera; Bombycidae.